AUGUUGCCCCAACAUCUAGUUCAGUACCAGAGGGACAACUCAGUUAACCUGUCGUUUACUUGUAGGCACUCGGCGCUUUACCCGAAAGCCAUGGAGGUGGUAAGGAUGCGUGAUGCGAGUGCAGCAGCUUUCGAUGAUGUGUUCGCCGGUCUGAACGCUCUACUGUUGAGUGGCGCACCUUUCGCAGAAAAGCGGGAUGGUUACGGUUUUGAGGACCACAUGGCUGGCUUAACUCCUGGUACAUUACCAGGCAAUGGAGAGAUCGCAUAUGUUGGGGACAAGGGUGCUGAUAGAUGCAUCAGUACUGGAAACUCAAUUAGGGCGAAUGGUUUGCAUUGUCUAAUAGUACCAGAGAAGCAGAGGGGGUUGGAAGACCUACAAACAGCAGAGAGAAGGCACCGUACAAGGGGCUCAGUAAGCGCACAAGAUUCUGCAGCAUUUGCCGGCGCGGGAGUCACAACAGACUACAUACCUCGAAAGAGGGGAUGCCCCGAAGAAACCACGGAAGCCCGAGAGAUGCAGGAAUUGUCGAAUGGAAGGGACCGGCGGACAACGCGCACAAGAUCUUUGGAUGCUGCUGAAAAUGAAGUCUGA
This 594-nucleotide ribosomal RNA is filed under the name Triticum aestivum (bread wheat). RNAcentral describes it as "partial small subunit ribosomal RNA". The record is from RNAcentral. Lineage: Eukaryota; Viridiplantae; Streptophyta; Magnoliopsida; Poales; Poaceae.